CUACGGGCCGCAGCAGUGAGGAAUUUUGCGCAAUGGGGGCAACCCUGACGCAGCGACGCCUCGUGAAUGAUGAAGUCUUUCGGGAUGUAAAGUUCUGUCAGUGGGGAAGAUUAUGACGGUACCCACAGAGGAAGCACCGGCUAACUACGUGCCAGCAGCCGCGGUAAUACGUAGGGUGCAAGCGUUAUCCGGAUUUAUUGGGCGUAAAGGGUGCGUAGGCUGUUUGGUAAGUUAGAUGUGAAAGCUAUAGGCUCAACCUGUAGUUGCAUUUAAAACUGCCAGGCUAGAGAAUGUCAGAGGAAAGCGGAACUUACGGUGUAGCGGUGAAAUGCGUAGAUAUCGUAAGGAACACCAGUGGCGAAGGCGGCUUUCUGGGGCAUUUCUGACGCUGAUGCACGAAAGCAUGGGGAGCAAACAGGAUUAGAUACCCUGGUAGUC
This 438-nucleotide ribosomal RNA is filed under the name uncultured bacterium. RNAcentral describes it as "partial 16S ribosomal RNA". It matches the Rfam family "Bacterial small subunit ribosomal RNA", at positions 339 to 795 of the family's 1533-position model. The record is from RNAcentral.